CAGCAGUCCCGCAGCAAUGCGGGAGCUGGCGACCGGCAAACGGGUGCGGAACACGUACACAACCUUCCUUAAAGUGGGGGAUAGCCCGGGGAAACCCGGAUUAAUACCCCGUAACAUAGUGAAGUGGCAUCGCUUUAUUAUUAUAGCAGCAAUGCGCUUAAAGAUGGGUGUGCGCCUGAUUAGGCAGUUGGCGGGGUAACGGCCCACCAAACCUACGAUCAGUAACUGGUGUGAGAGCACGACCAGUCACACGGGCACUGAGACACGGGCCCGACUCCUACGGGAGGCAGCAGUAAGGAAUAUUGGUCAAUGGACGCAAGUCUGAACCAGCCAUGCCGCGUGGAGGAUGAAGGUCCUCUGGAUUGUAAACUUCUUUUAUCUGGGAAGAAAUCCACAAAUUCUUUUGUGGUUGACGGUACCAGGUGAAUAAGCACCGGCUAACUCCGUGCCAGCAGCCGCGGUAAUACGGAGGGUGCAAGCGUUAUCCGGAUUCACUGGGUUUAAAGGGUGCGUAGGUGGGUUGGUAAGUCAGUGGUGAAAUCUCCAGGCUUAACUUGGAAACUGCCAUUGAUACUAUCAAUCUUGAAUACCGUGGAGGUCAGCGGAAUAUGUCAUGUAGCGGUGAAAUGCUUAGAUAUGACAUAGAACACCAACUGCGAAGGCAGCUGGCUACGCGGAUAUUGACACUGAUGCACGAAAGCGUGGGGAUCAAACAGGAUUAGAUACCCUGGUAGUCCACGCCCUAAACGAUGGAUACUCGACAUACGCGAUAUACUGUGUGUGUCUGAGCGAAAGCAUUAAGUAUCCCACCUGGG
RNAcentral lists this ribosomal RNA (815 nucleotides) under uncultured Sphingobacteriales bacterium. Its description in RNAcentral is "bacterial SSU rRNA". It matches the Rfam family "Bacterial small subunit ribosomal RNA", at positions 70 to 877 of the family's 1533-position model. The record is from RNAcentral. Lineage: Bacteria; Pseudomonadati; Bacteroidota; Sphingobacteriia; Sphingobacteriales.